This 937-nucleotide ribosomal RNA is filed under the name Clostridium perfringens. RNAcentral describes it as "partial 23S ribosomal RNA". It matches the Rfam family "Bacterial large subunit ribosomal RNA", at positions 320 to 1259 of the family's 2925-position model. The record is from RNAcentral. Lineage: Bacteria; Bacillati; Bacillota; Clostridia; Eubacteriales; Clostridiaceae.
AGGCUAUUGUAACUGAAGAGAACUGGAAAGUUCCACCGUAGAAGGUAAUAGUCCUGUAAGUGAAACGAGAAGACCACGAGUUAUGAUCCAGAGUACCACGAGACACGUGAAACCUUGUGGGAAGCAGGGAGGACCACCUCCCAAGGCUAAAUACUACCUGAUGACCGAUAGUGAAGCAGUACCGUGAGGGAAAGGUGAAAAGAACCCCGGGAGGGGAGUGAAAUAGAACCUGAAACCGUGUGCCUACAACCGCUCAGAGCCCCUUAUGAGGGUGAUGAGGUGCUUUUUGUAGAACGAGCCAACGAGUUACGGUAUGUAGCAAGGUUAAGUACUUAAGGUACGGAGCCGAAGGGAAACCGAGUCUGAAUAGGGCGACUAGUUGCAUGCCGUAGACCCGAAACCGGGUGACCUAUCCAUGGCCAGGUUGAAGCGAGGGUAAAACCUCGUGGAGGACCGAACCACGUUGCUGUUGAAAAAGCAUGGGAUGAGCUGUGGAUAGCGGAGAAAUUCCAAUCGAACCCGGAGAUAGCUGGUUCUCUCCGAAAUAGCUUUAGGGCUAGCGUCGAGUAUGAGUAGUGGAGGUAGAGCACUGAAUGGGCUAGGGGGCAUAGCGCUUACCGAACCUUAUCAAACUCCGAAUGCCACAUACUUUGAGCUCGGCAGUCAGACUACGAAUGAUAAGAUCCGUGGUCAAAAGGGAAACAGCCCAGAUCGUCAGCUAAGGUCCCAAAGUGUAAGUUAAGUGGGAAAGGAUGUGAGAUUUCUAAGACAACUAGGAUGUUGGCUUAGAAGCAGCCAUUCAUUAAAAGAGUGCGUAAUAGCUCACUAGUCGAGAGAUCUUGCGCCGAAAAUGUAACGGGGCUAAACUUACCACCGAAGCUACGGGCUUGAACUUAGUUCAAGCGGUAGGAGAGCGUCGUAACCGGGCUGAAGUCGU